Molecule: ribosomal RNA, 274 nt
Filed under: uncultured bacterium
Lineage: Bacteria
Description: partial 16S ribosomal RNA
Rfam family: Bacterial small subunit ribosomal RNA
Source: RNAcentral
AUACGGAGGGUGCAAGCGUUAAUCGGAAUUACUGGGCGUAAAGGGUACGUAGGCGGUUAUGUCAGUCGGAUGUGAAAGCCCCGGGCUCAACCUGGGAAUUGCAUUUGAUACUGCAUAGCUAGAGUUUGGUAGAGGGAAGCGGAAUUCCCGGUGUAGCGGUGAAAUGCGUAGAGAUCGGGAGGAACACCAGUGGCGAAGGCGGCUUCCUGGACCAACACUGACACUGAGGCGCGAAAGCGUGGGGAGCAAACAGGAUUAGAUACCCCAGUAGUCC